RNAcentral lists this ribosomal RNA (1960 nucleotides) under human gut metagenome. RNAcentral describes it as "bacterial LSU rRNA". It matches the Rfam family "Bacterial large subunit ribosomal RNA", at positions 3 to 1990 of the family's 2925-position model. The record is from RNAcentral.
UUAAGUAAGAAAGGGCGUACGGUGGAUGCCUAGGCACUUGAAACUGAAGAAGGACGCAACAAACGGCGAAACGCGGCGGGGAGCUGUACGUAAGCAAAGAUCCGCCGGUAUCCGAAUGGGGGAACCCGGCAUGCGUAAUAGCAUGUCAUCCGCAGAUGAACAAAUAGUCUGCGAGAGAGGUACCCGGGGAACUGAAACAUCUAAGUACCCGGAGGAAAAGAAAACAACAGUGAUUCCCUGAGUAGCGGCGAGCGAAAGGGGAGGAGCCCAAACCAGACCGAGGUCUGGGGUUGAAGGACCGCGAUACGGCAAGAAUCAUGGUAGGAGAACGGCAUUGAAAGGCCGACCGGAGAGGGUGCAAGUCCCGUAUCCGAAACCGUGAGGAAGCCCAGCGGGAUCCUGAGUACGGCGAGACACGAGAAAUCUUGUCGGAAGCAGGCGGGACCAUCCGUCAAGGCUAAAUAUAAGCAAGUGACCGAUAGUGAACCAGUACCGUGAGGGAAAGGUGAAAAGAACCGCGGGAGCGGAGUGAAACAGAACCUGAAACCGUAUGCUUACAAGAAGUCAGAGCACGUUAAGGUGUGAUGGCGUGCCUUUUGUAGAAUGAACCGGCGAGUUAUGUUAUCGUGCGAGGUUAAGCAGGAGAUGCGGAGCCGAAGCGAAAGCGAGUCUUAAGAGGGCGGCAGUACGAUGACAUAGACCCGAAACCGUGUGAUCUAGCCAUGACCAGGUUGAAGUUCAGGUGAAACUGAAUGGAGGACCGAACCGACCCCCGUUGAAAAGUUGGCGGAUGAGUUGUGGCUAGGGGAGAAAUUCCAAUCGAACACGGAUAUAGCUGGUUCUCCCCGAAAUAGCUUUAGGGCUAGCGUCGAGGAUGAGUCUUGUGGAGGUAGAGCACUGAAUGUACGAUGGCCCCAUCCCGGGGUACUGAGUAUAAUCAAACUCCGAAUGCCAUGAGAUAUUCCCGGCAGUCAGACCGUGGGUGAUAAGGUCCAUGGUCAAAAGGGAAACAGCCCAGACCGCCAGUUAAGGUCCCAAAAUGUAUGCUAAGUGGAAAAGGAUGUGGGGAUGCACAGACAACUAGGAGGUUGGCUCAGAAGCAGCCAUCCUUCAAAGAGUGCGUAACAGCUCACUAGUCGAGUGACCCUGCGCCGAAAAUGUACCGGGGCUAAGCAUACUACCGAAGCUGCGGAUUUGUAGUAAUACAAGUGGUAGGGGAGCGUUCCAUGCACGUGGAAGCCAUACCGAAAGGAGUGGUGGAGAGCAUGGAAGUGAGAAUGCCGGUGUGAGUAGCGAGAUGCAGGUGAGAAUCCUGCACACCGAUAGCCCAAGGAUUCCAGGGGAAGGUUCGUCCGCCCUGGGUAAGUCGGGACCUAAGGCGAGGCCGAAAGGCGUAGUCGAUGGAAAACAGGCAGAUAUUCCUGUACCCGCGAUGGAAAUGAAGGAAUGACGGAGAAGGCUAGCAUGAGCCACUUAUUGGAUUGUGGUCGAAGCGAAUAGCAGGUGCAUAGUCAAAUGCGUGCACGGGAUGUAAAACGUGACAGGUAAGCGAAACCUUUGGGGAGUAGCGAAGCAUGCGAGGCCAGCUUCCAGGAAAAGUUUCUAGUGCUGAUUCCAUAGCGGCCCGUACCAAAACCGACACAGGUGGGCAAGGAGAGUAUCCUGAGGUGAGCGAGAGAACUGUUGCCAAGGAACUCGGCAAAAUGACUCCGUAAGUUAGCGAGAAGGAGUGCUUAUGAAAGUAAGCCGCAGUGAAGAGGCCCAAGCGACUGUUUAACUAAAACACAGCUCUCUGCGAAGUCGCAAGACGAAGUAUAGGGGGUGACGCCUGCCCGGUGCUGGAAGGUUAAGAGGAUUUGUCAGUUUCGACGAAGCAAUGAAUUGAAGCCCCAGUGAACGGCGGCCGUAACUAUAACGGUCCUAAGGUAGCGAAAUUCCUUGUCAGGUAAGUUCUGACCCG